Mugil cephalus (flathead mullet) is the source of this 1743-nucleotide long non-coding RNA. RefSeq lists it as uncharacterized. Lineage: Eukaryota; Metazoa; Chordata; Actinopteri; Mugiliformes; Mugilidae. The record is from RefSeq and is a predicted model, not a curated record. The transcript has 7 exons.
UUCGUAGUUUGGAAGGGAUACCAGUAGGUGGCAGGCUAGUAAGCAAGAGCUACUGUUAGCUGGAAGCAGGAAGCUAAGAAAAGGUGUUGUUACUUUGAGGUUAGGAAGAGCUACUAUUAGCUGAAAGGCUAGAAAGCUAGAAAGCUAGGAAGAGCUACUACUACUAGUAGUAGGCUAGGAAUCUAGGAAGAACUACUGUUAGAUGGGAGACUGGGAAGCUUACAAGAAGCUAGGAACCUCCAAGCCUCAGUGACCAGGGCCGGGUAGUCUGGUCUGGCUGUGACGUAGCGCUCUAUCUGGGCAUGCACCGACUCCAACACCUAGAAACACACCACAGACGAUACAGGACCAAUCUGAGAAAUACCAACCGGUGGGAAGUGGAAAUUGCCUGGCGGGCAUCCCAGAGGUAAUGGAGGUAGUUUACAUCCAUCAGAAAGUCUGAACCGCGACAGUAGCCGACGCUGUCCGAUACUGAAAGAUCUAACAGACACAGAGAAUUCAAUGGAUGUGUUCUGAGUGUGAGUUGUGGAGGUAUACCGGGCACCAGGACGGCAUGAGGAGGAGGAAAGAGGCAGCACUGGAGGAAUAACAGUCCCUCUGCUUUAAGGAGCAGCGUUGUUUCCUGUUCAGAUGGCUGCAGGGGAUCAGAUACCUGAGGAAACAUGGACCCACAUGGGUCAGCAAGACAGAACAGACUCAGCUGGUCUGGAGUCUCUCCGCACGGUACUGAUUCCGCUCCAUCAAAGAUCAAGAGCUUGACUGCUGAGAGGCAUGUCCUACCUGGAAAGGUGUGUUGACCCUGCUGACCAGCGUGUCCAGGAUGUGAACGUUGUCGUGGGUGUGCAGCAGGAUGAAUGACAGGAAGGUCUGGAGGAGGGCGGGCUCGGAGAUGGAGCGCAGGAAGAGAUCCAGAGCUGGAGCGAGCACAGGCACGAGGAAGCCAUUGUGGAUGUAACCCAACAGCUGGGACCGAAUCGAGGGAUGAGCGACCUAAAAAGGAGACAAAGACAAACGGAAAGAAUAAAAAUGGAGGGAACUUUUCGGAUUGUAUCAUUUUAUAUGUGGGGAUGCACUGUAUGUUACCUUGGUAACAGCACUGCAGAAGUCCAGAGAGUGCAGGAAGUGUACAAGAGCUGGAACCUGGUGACCGAAAGACAAGGACAUAUACAAGUUGCCAUGGUUACCUGCUGCCAGUCAGCCUCGUCCAGACAGUGCCAGUCUUCACUGUAAACCUGCAGCCUGGCUGGAAGAGACGAGUACAGACCGGACAGACCUGUGGCCAGCACCUGAAAACACACCAACAUUUCUUUAUUUAAUAGUUGUCAUGAGAAGAUGUCACUCUUGUGAUGGGAAAAAAUGUGACAAACAGCUCUGUGCUGUUCCCAUAAUGAGGGUUUUGGUUCACGAGUGAGAAAUCCCAACACUGAUCUUUGCCAGGUGCCAUUUUCCAGGAUUGGCUGCACUGGACGGUUCAUUCAUUCAAAUACCGAGGGUGGUCGUAAUGUGCUACCUGAGCUAUAUUCUGUAAAUUCAAUCACGUUUUUUGUUAGCUCAGGCAGCCAGGGUUAUUAAAUGUAUUUUUGUUUCUUCUGUUGCAUUUAGGGUUUUCGUUAGUGUUUUGGGGAAUAAGAUAGCUGGGGUUUUGUUGCCUACUUUACUUUGUAUGUAGCCUUGUAUAUAGCUCACUUGUCACUGGUUGUGUGUUGGGUUGUAAUAAACAGUUCACUUAGUUUGCACUUCGCA